Molecule: ribosomal RNA, 700 nt
Filed under: uncultured bacterium
Lineage: Bacteria
Description: bacterial SSU rRNA
Rfam family: Bacterial small subunit ribosomal RNA
Source: RNAcentral
CUUAAGUGGGGGAUAACAUUUGGAAACAGAUGCUAAUACCGCAUAGAUCCAAGAACCUCUUGGUUCUUGGCUGAAAGAUGGCGUAAGCUAUCGCUUUUGGAUGGACCCGCGGCGUAUUAGCUAGUUGGUGAGGUAAUGGCUCACCAAGGCGAUGAUACGUAGCCGAACUGAGAGGUUGAUCGGCCACAUUGGGACUGAGACACGGCCCAAACUCCUACGGGAGGCAGCAGUAGGGAAUCUUCCACAAUGGACGCAAGUCUGAUGGAGCAACGCCGCGUGAGUGAAGAAGGCUUUCGGGUCGUAAAACUCUGUUGUUGGAGAAGAAUGGUCGGCAGAGUAACUGUUGUCGGCGUGACGGUAUCCAACCAGAAAGCCACGGCUAACUACGUGCCAGCAGCCGCGGUAAUACGUAGGUGGCAAGCGUUAUCCGGAUUUAUUGGGCGUAAAGCGAGCGCAGGCGGUUUUUUAAGUCUGAUGUGAAAGCCCUCGGCUUAACCGAGGAAGCGCAUCGGAAACUGGGAAACUUGAGUGCAGAAGAGGACAGUGGAACUCCAUGUGUAGCGGUGAAAUGCGUAGAUAUAUGGAAGAACACCAGUGGCGAAGGCGGCUGUCUGGUCUGUAACUGACGCUGAGGCUCGAAAGCAUGGGUAGCGAACAGGAUUAGAUACCCUGGUAGUCCAUGCCGUAAACGAUGAAUGCU